GGGGUAACAUAGUGGUUUGAGCACUGGACUGGGAAACUGGAGACCAGGGUUCGAAUCCCAGCUUGGCCA
Non-coding RNA from Phrynosoma platyrhinos (Desert horned lizard), 69 nucleotides. NCBI's taxonomy places the organism in Eukaryota, Metazoa, Chordata, Lepidosauria, Squamata, Phrynosomatidae. The record is from the annotation of a GenBank genome assembly.